Molecule: ribosomal RNA, 442 nt
Filed under: uncultured bacterium
Lineage: Bacteria
Description: partial 16S ribosomal RNA
Rfam family: Bacterial small subunit ribosomal RNA
Source: RNAcentral
CCUACGGGAGGCAGCAGUGGGGGAUAUUGGACAAUGGGGGGAACCCUGAUCCAGCGACGCCGCGUGAGUGAAGAAGUAUUUCGGUAUGUAAAGCUCUGUCAGCAGGGAAGAAAGAAAUGACGGUACCUGACCAAGAAGACCCGGCUAACUACGUGCCAGCAGCCGCGGUAAUACGUAGGGGGCAAGCGUUAUCCGGACUUACUGGGUGUAAAGGGUGCGCAGGCGGAUUUUUAAGUCAGCGGUCAAAUCGUGGGGCUCAACCCCAUCCAGAUGUUGAAAUUGGGGGUCUAGAGUGUGCGAGAGGUAUGCGGAAUGCGUGGUGUAGCAGUGAAAUGCAUAGAUAUCACGCAGAACCCCGAUGGCGAAGGCAGCAUACCGGUGCACAACUGACGCUCAGGCACGAAAGCGUGGGUAUCGAACAGGAUUAGAUACCCCAGUAGUC